Molecule: long non-coding RNA, 742 nt
Filed under: Marmota monax (woodchuck)
Lineage: Eukaryota; Metazoa; Chordata; Mammalia; Rodentia; Sciuridae
Source: RNAcentral
AAAGUCCAGGGCCCAUGAUUUCAGUAUUUGCCUCCUCCCUUCAGGACCCAUUGUGGUUGGGAAGGGGCAAGAUGCUUGCUUCUGGUGGAGAUGCUGGGGAUGAACCUAGGAAGGGAUGAAAGUUUGCUUUUCCCUCAGGGCGCACUGUUACUGGGAGGUUUAAUGUUUGACUAAUUUCCUCUUCCUCCUCAGGAGCCACACUGCUCCCCACCCCCAGCUGUCUUGUUGGGAUCUUAUUUUUUAUAACCCUUCAGUUUCAGGAAGAAUUCUAUUUCAGUCAGCCAAAUGUCUAUAAACAUUAGCUUCAAAAGUUGUUUGCUAUUAUAUGUGAACCAAAUGUUAAAUUGAAAACAGAUUAUUCAUAUUUCUUCUUCUGUAAAGUGCCUGUACAGUUCUUUAGCCCAUUUAUUGUGAAAUUAUUAGUUGAGUUAUUUGUUUUUAUGGUGUUAAGUUUUUUGAGUUCUUUAAUCUUUGAUCCUGGAGAUUAAUGCUCUAUCUGAUGAGCAGGUGGCAAAGGUCUUCUCCCAUUUUGUAGGCUGUCUCUAGAAUUACAAGCAUUGCUGCCUUGCCUGGCUGUUUAAGAUCUUUUUGCAUUUCAAUUAAGGCUUAUUCUUUGUCCCAUGUGUUAUUUAAAUGUGUUUUGCUGAGUGUGUAAAUAUUCUGAAUUUUUCUGCUUAUCAUACGAUGUCCAUUUCUAAUUUAGUUUCACAGUGGUCUGAGAUCAUAUAAUUGACACUUGAAC